AGACCCGAAACCCGGUGAUCUAGCCAUGGGCAGGUUGAAGGUUGGGUAACACUAACUGGAGGACCGAACCGACUAAUGUUGAAAAAUUAGCGGAUGACCUGUGGCUGGGGGUGAAAGGCCAAUCAAACCGGGAGAUAGCUGGUUCUCCCCGAAAGCUAUUUAGGUAGCGCCUCGUGAAUUCAUCUCCGGGGGUAGAGCACUGUUUCGGCUAGGGGGCCAUCCCGGCUUACCAACCCGAUGCAAACUGCGAAUACCGGAGAAUGUUAUCACGGGAGACACACGGCGGGUGCUAACGUCCGUCGUGAAGAGGGAAACAACCCAGACCGCCAGCUAAGGUCCCAAAGUCAUGGUUAAGUGGGAAACGAUGUGGGAAGGCCCAGACAGCCAGGAUGUUGGCUUAGAAGCAGCCAUCAUUUAAAGAAAGCGUAAUAGCUCACUGGUCGAGUCGGCCUGCGCGGAAGAUGUAACGGGGCUAAACCAUGCACCGAAGCUGCGGCAGCGACACUCAGGUGUUGUUGGGUAGGGGAGCGUUCUGUAAGUCUGCGAAGGUGGCCUGUGAGGGUUGCUGGAGGUAUCAGAAGUGCGAAUGCUGACAUAAGUAACGAUAAAGCGGGUGAAAAGCCCGCUCGCCGGAAGACCAAGGGUUCCUGUCCAACGUUAAUCGGGGCAGGGUGAGUCGACCCC
RNAcentral lists this ribosomal RNA (684 nucleotides) under Salmonella enterica subsp. enterica serovar Infantis. RNAcentral describes it as "partial 23S ribosomal RNA". It matches the Rfam family "Bacterial large subunit ribosomal RNA", at positions 711 to 1391 of the family's 2925-position model. Lineage: Bacteria; Pseudomonadati; Pseudomonadota; Gammaproteobacteria; Enterobacterales; Enterobacteriaceae. The record is from RNAcentral. RNAcentral also lists the same sequence under 1 other name.